AAUAAAAUGGCUGAGAUUUAAGCGAUAAAUUGUAAAUUUAUUUACGAGAAUUUUCUCUUUUAUUA
This 65-nucleotide transfer RNA is filed under the name Chrysodeixis acuta. RNAcentral describes it as "tRNA-Tyr". It matches the Rfam family "tRNA". Rfam says of the family: Transfer RNA (tRNA) molecules are approximately 80 nucleotides in length. Their secondary structure includes four short double-helical elements and three loops (D, anti-codon, and T loops). Lineage: Eukaryota; Metazoa; Arthropoda; Insecta; Lepidoptera; Noctuidae. The record is from RNAcentral.